GGCACACGGGUACCAUCCGGUCUUUCGGCCACGGCUUGUUCGCCACGGACCGGUCGAUCUUCUUUGAGCGUCACGGCCAUUGGACAUUGGUCGUGCGGCAGGUAGGUGCC
This 110-nucleotide small RNA is filed under the name Sinorhizobium meliloti 2011. RNAcentral describes it as "putative ncRNA". Lineage: Bacteria; Pseudomonadati; Pseudomonadota; Alphaproteobacteria; Hyphomicrobiales; Rhizobiaceae. The record is from RNAcentral.